RNAcentral lists this ribosomal RNA (496 nucleotides) under uncultured bacterium. RNAcentral's name for it is "bacterial SSU rRNA". It matches the Rfam family "Bacterial small subunit ribosomal RNA", at positions 899 to 1397 of the family's 1533-position model. The record is from RNAcentral.
ACUCAAAGGAAUAGACGGGGGCCCGCACAAGCGGAGGAACAUGUGGUUUAAUUCGAUGAUACGCGAGGAACCUUACCCGGGCUCGAACGGCCGUUGCAUAAUUAUGAAAGUAAUUAGUCGCAAGACAGCGGUCGAGGUGCUGCAUGGUUGUCGUCAGCUCGUGCCGUGAGGUGUCGGCUUAAGUGCCAUAACGAGCGCAACCCUUAUCGAUAGUUACCAGCGAUUCAGUCGGGGACUCUAUUGAGACUGCCACCGUAAGGUGUGAGGAAGGUGGGGAUGACGUCAAAUCAGCACGGCCCUUACGUCCGGGGCGACACACGUGUUACAAUGGGCAGCACAGCAGGCAGCUACACGGCGACGUGAUGCCAAUCCUGAAAAACUGCUCUCAGUUCGGAUCGGAGUCUGCAACUCGACUCCGUGAAGCCGGAUUCGCUAGUAAUCGCGCAUCAGCCAUGGCGCGGUGAAUACGUUCCCGGGCCUUGUACACACCGCCCGU